UGCCAGCCGCCGCGGUAAUACGGAGGGUGCAAGCGUUGUUCGGAAUUAUUGGGCGUAAAGCGCGUGUAGGCGGUUCGUUAAGUCUGAUGUGAAAGCCCGGGGCUCAACCCCGGAAGUGCAUUGGAAACUGGCGAACUUGAGUACGGGAGAGGAAAGUGGAAUUCCGAGUGUAGGGGUGAAGUGCGUAGAUAUCGGAAGGAACACCAGUUGCGAAGGCGGCUUCCUGGCCCAAUACUGACGCUGAGGUGCGAAAGUGUGGGGAGCAAACAGGAUUAGAUA
RNAcentral lists this ribosomal RNA (279 nucleotides) under uncultured bacterium. Its description in RNAcentral is "partial 16S ribosomal RNA". It matches the Rfam family "Bacterial small subunit ribosomal RNA", at positions 506 to 784 of the family's 1533-position model. The record is from RNAcentral.